CCCGCGUGGGGGGGACGGGAAGAGGGGCCUGAGUCAGCGGCUGUCGUCCAGGAAAACAGGCUGGAGUCACCUGCCGUAGAGUGGGGGUGCCCUGGCCAGCCCUGGCCUCCUGCAUCUGUCAAUGGUGACCUCAGAGGGCAUUUAUGGAGCGAUUAGCCAGUGCCAGGCCUGCCUUGUGCCCAGCCAGUCACCAGCCGGCUAUGCUGUGACCCCGGGAGAUGAAGAAACUGAGGCCACAGCCAAUGAGACACGAAUGUGGUGUGCAUCUCACCCUUCCCCGUCGGCUUUUUGAGGAUGGUCCUGGUUGAGUGAGAACAAAGGUGGCGGAGGGAGCCGUGGACUGGUGCCAAAUGAGCAGCCCAAGCAGGACACUGGGGCCCCCUGUGAGUGGCCAGCAGCCCCCACCUCCCUCCCUGCCUCUUGCCUCUCGUGUGUGGCUCUGCCACCUGCACACCGUCACCUCAGUCUGGUCGGGAGUGGAAUGGACACCGUCACCUCAGUCUGGUCGGGAGUGGAAUGGACACCGUCACCUCAGUCUGGUCGGGAGUGGAAUGGACACCAUCACCUCAGUCUGGUCGGGAGUGGAAUGGGACACGGGUUGUCGGAACUUGCUGGGCUUCACAGGGGCCACUGUGUGGCCCUUUGGGGACCAGAUGCCCAGAGCCAGUCUAAA
This 673-nucleotide long non-coding RNA is filed under the name Homo sapiens (human). RNAcentral's name for it is "non-protein coding lnc-CBARP-1:1". The record is from RNAcentral. Lineage: Eukaryota; Metazoa; Chordata; Mammalia; Primates; Hominidae.